GAUGAACGUUGGCGGUGUGCCUAAUACAUGCAAGUCGAACGGAGACAGUAGCAAUAUUGUCUUAGUGGCGAACGGGUGAGUAACGCGUUGGUGACCUGCCCCGAAGUGUGGAAUAACAGUUCGAAAGAAUUGCUAAUACCGCAUGUGAUCUUUGAGAUUAGAACCUCUUUGAUUAAAGGAUUUAUUCGCUUCGGGAGGGGCCUGCGUCCCAUCAGCUAGUUGGUAGGGUAAAAGCCUACCAAGGCGAUGACGGGUAGGGGACCUGAGAGGGUGGCCCCCCACAAUGGAACUGAAACACGGUCCAUACACCUACGGGUGGCAGCAGUAGGGAAUAUUAGUAAUGGGCGAAAGCCUGAACUAGCAACACCGCGUGUGCGAUGAAGGCCUUCGGGUCGUAAAGCACUUUUCGGGAGGAUGAGGAAGGACGGUACUCCCGGAAUAAGUCUCGGCUAACUACGUG
Molecule: ribosomal RNA, 460 nt
Filed under: uncultured bacterium
Lineage: Bacteria
Description: bacterial SSU rRNA
Rfam family: Bacterial small subunit ribosomal RNA
Source: RNAcentral